AAGGAGGGUGGGUUGGGUUUUAGGGACCUGUACCGGUUCAAUAUCGCCAUGCUAGCGCAUCAGACUUGGAGGAUCCUAACAACACCUGAAUCUCUUUGAGCUAGAGUCUUGAAAGCAAGGUACUUCCCUCACACUUCGGUCCUGGAUGCACAGACAGCUAGCGGCAUAUCUUACACAUGGCAAAGUAUCUUAAAGGGUGUGCAGCUUCUGAAAGAAGGCCUGAUUUAUAGAAUUUGUGAUGGAACGGCAGUGAGUAUAUGGACCGACCCAUGGUUGAACCGAGAGGGAUCGAGGACACCCAUAACAAGGAGGGGAAGAUGCCUCUUAACAAGGGUUUGUGAGAUCAUAGACCCAGAAACAUGA
Molecule: ribosomal RNA, 363 nt
Filed under: Triticum aestivum (bread wheat)
Lineage: Eukaryota; Viridiplantae; Streptophyta; Magnoliopsida; Poales; Poaceae
Description: partial small subunit ribosomal RNA
Source: RNAcentral